This 440-nucleotide ribosomal RNA is filed under the name uncultured bacterium. RNAcentral's name for it is "partial 16S ribosomal RNA". It matches the Rfam family "Bacterial small subunit ribosomal RNA", at positions 338 to 795 of the family's 1533-position model. The record is from RNAcentral.
CCUACGGGAGGCAGCAGUGGGGAAUAUUGCACAAUGGGGGACACCCUGAUGCAGCGACGACGCGUGAGUGAAGAAGUAUUUCGGUAUGUAAAGCUCUAUCAGCAGGGAAGAAAAUGACGGUACCUGAUUAAGAAGCCCCGGCUAACGACGUGCCAGCAGCCGCGGUAAUACGUAGGGGGCAAGCGUUAUCCGGAUUUACUGGGUGUAAAGGGAGCGUAGACGGCAGCACAAGUCUGGAGUGAAAUGCUGGGGCUUAACCCCGGGACUGCAUUUGAAACUGUGCAGCUAGAGUGUAGGAGAGGUAAGUGGAAUUCCUAGUGUAGCGGUGAAAUGCGGAGAUAUUAGGAGGAACACCAGUGGCGAAGGCGGCUUACUGGACUGUAACUGACGUUGAGGCUCGAAAGCGUGGGGAGCAAACAGGAUUAGAUACCCCGGUAGUC